CCCCAGCCGGGGUUCAUUGAUGGACUUGACAGCCCUACGAAAUGUGCAGCCAAACAGGGCAUGCUGGAUGCAUCCACAAAGCAGUGACCAAAUUAAGAUGAUAAAAAAUGCUUUAAAUGAAAAGGAAUCACAACAACAAUUUUUGGCUCAAGUAGGAGCAACAAUUCUGGACAGAUCAGAUUUUAUUACCUUGGGCCAUCCAAAUGAUGUUGAAGGGACUAUUUUGAAUGCCUGCCUCUCAGUUGUCAGGGAUAUUGCUGACUUAAAGAACAUAAAGGUCCAUUGUUUUAGCUCAUAUGUGACAGUGACAUGGUUGCCACCAUUCUGUGCAGACCCUUCAGCUAACUUACCUGAACAUAUAGCAAGAUGUGACUUCAUCUUACUGCCUUCAUGGGCUACAAACCAUUGGAUGAUAUGUAAAACUUGCACAGCAACUACAUCCUGGGCCGUGGAAGGAGUAUGGACGUGAUGAUCUCAAAGGUGCUCCAAGGCAGAAUUGUUCAAAUAACUGUGGAGUAUUUGUGUUGAUGUACACACUCUAUGUUGUAAUGGGAGGUCUCUUUGAUUUUGCUGAGUCUGACAUGGCUGCAGUAAGGAGAUGGUGGUGCUUGCUCCUGCUAACAAAUUAUCCCGUCAAAUCAGAUGCUGAAAGAAAGCUUCUCAGAAAAAGGCGCAAAGAAAUGAAGACAGGUAUAACUUUAACUAAAAUAGG
This is a long non-coding RNA of Carassius carassius (crucian carp), 712 nucleotides long. RefSeq lists it as uncharacterized. NCBI's taxonomy places the organism in Eukaryota, Metazoa, Chordata, Actinopteri, Cypriniformes, Cyprinidae. The transcript is spliced from 10 exons. The record is from RefSeq and is a predicted model, not a curated record.